AGCAGCCGCGGUAAUUCCAGCUCCAAUAGCGUAUAUUAAAGUUGUUGCAGUUAAAAAGCUCGUAGUUGAAUUUCGGGAUCAAUAUAUCGGUCGUGCCUUGGUACGUACUGGUAUCAUUGGUUUCUCCUUUCUGACGAACCAUGAUGUCAUUAAUUUGGUGUUAUGGGAAGUUAGGACUGUUACUUUGAAAAAAUUAGAGUGUUUAAAGCAGGCUUUAGCUUGAAUACAUUAGCAUGGAAUAAUGAAAUAGGACGUUCGAACCUAUUUUGUUGGUUUCUAGGAUCAACGUAAUGAUUAAUAGGGAUAGUUGGGGGCAUUAGUAUUCAAUUGUCAGAGGUGAAAUUCUUGGAUUUAUUGAAGACUAACUACUGCGAAAGCAUUUGCCAAGGAUGUUUUCAUUAAUCAAGAACGAAAGUUAGGGGAUCGAAGACGAUCAGAUACCGUCGUAGUCUUAACCAUAAACUAUGCCGACUA
This 474-nucleotide unclassified non-coding RNA is filed under the name uncultured Archaeospora. RNAcentral's name for it is "SSU rRNA". It matches the Rfam family "Eukaryotic small subunit ribosomal RNA", at positions 569 to 1048 of the family's 1831-position model. Lineage: Eukaryota; Fungi; Glomeromycota; Glomeromycetes; Archaeosporales; Archaeosporaceae. The record is from RNAcentral.